RNAcentral lists this ribosomal RNA (497 nucleotides) under uncultured bacterium. RNAcentral describes it as "partial 16S ribosomal RNA". It matches the Rfam family "Bacterial small subunit ribosomal RNA", at positions 28 to 507 of the family's 1533-position model. The record is from RNAcentral.
GAUGAACGCUGGCGGCGUGCCUAAUACAUGCAAGUCGAGCGAACGGACGAGAAGCUUGCUUCUCUGAUGUUAGCGGCGGACGGGUGAGUAACACGUGGAUAACCUACCUAUAAGACUGGGAUAACUUCGGGAAACCGGAGCUAAUACCGGGUAAUAUUUUGAACCGAAUGGUUCAAAAGUGAAAGACGGUCUUGCUGUCACUUAUAGAUGGAUCCGCGCUGCAUUAGCUAGUUGGUAAGGUAACGGCUUACCAAGGCAACGAUGCAUAGCCGACCUGAGAGGGUGAUCGGCCACACUGGAACUGAGACACGGUCCAGACUCCUACGGGAGGCAGCAGUAGGGAAUCUUCCGCAAUGGGCGAAAGCCUGACGGAGCAACGCCGCGUGAGUGAUGAAGGUCUUCGGAUCGUAAAACUCUGUUAUUAGGGAAGAACAUAUGUGUAAGUAACUGUGCACAUCUUGACGGUACCUAAUCAGAAAGCCACGGCUAACUACGUG